CAGUGUCCUGUGCAUUCACUGCCGACCUGCUCCAGAGCUAAGGGGAAAGGUAAAGGCCACGCAGUCACGGCCUGGGAUGGAAAUACACAGCGAGGUCACCCAAAGAACCGCAUCCCUCUCAUCGGCUCCUCAGACUCCCCAUAGAGAUAAACCUCACUCAGCUCCUGUGCCUCCCCCCGACCCGAGCACAAACCAGGAACAUCUGCCAGGAUCCGUCUCCCCCAUCCUGGCGUAAACCAGAUGCAAUCCCACAGGAACCCCUUGACCCAUCUACACCCGCGUGAAGUUGUUGGGAGAGGAGAAUCAGAGCACUGGCCUCUAGGUGUGUUAGCAGGAAAUACACCGACACAGAGAGAUUCUGAUCCCCCAGCCGGAUGUCAGCUCAAGGCCCCUGUCUUCACACCGAACCGUCUGCCCCACGGUAGCUCAGGCUCAUUGAAUCAGUGGGGCCAUUGGCAGCAGGAUGAGGAAUGACGCUCUGCCGCCGGAAAUGGAGAGGGACUGGUGGAAGAGGCUGUGGUCGUAUACGAAGGGUGAGGGUUCGCCUGGUGGUUCUAUAUACACCUAUGGAAACAUCCUUGUUAAAGUAACUCAUAGACUCAUAGACUCAAGGACUGGAAGGGACCUUGAGAGGUCAUCGAGUCCAGUCCCCUGCCCUCAUGGCAGGACCAAAUACUGUCUAGACCAUCCCUAAUAGACAUUUAUCUAACCUACUCUUAAAUAUCUCCAGAGAUGGAGAUUCCACAACUUCCCUAGGCAAUCUAUUCCAGUGUUUAACUACCCUGACAGUUAGGAACUUUUUCCUAAUGUCCAACCUAAAUCUCCCUUGCUGCAGUUUAAGCCCAUUGCUUCUUGUUCUAUCAUUGGAGGCUAAGGUGAACAAGUUUUCUCCCUCCUCCUGAUGACACCCUUUUAGAUACCUGAAAACUGAUAUCAGGUCCCCUCUCAGUCUUCUCUUUUCCAAACUAAAUAAACCCAAUUCCUUCAGCCUUCCUUCA
RNAcentral lists this long non-coding RNA (998 nucleotides) under Gopherus agassizii (Agassiz's desert tortoise). RNAcentral's name for it is "lncRNA (ENSGAGG00000002149.1)". The record is from RNAcentral. Lineage: Eukaryota; Metazoa; Chordata; Testudines; Testudinidae.